This 245-nucleotide ribosomal RNA is filed under the name uncultured bacterium. Its description in RNAcentral is "partial 16S ribosomal RNA". It matches the Rfam family "Bacterial small subunit ribosomal RNA", at positions 524 to 768 of the family's 1533-position model. The record is from RNAcentral.
UACGGAGGUGGCAAGCGUUGUUCGGAAUUGCUGGGCGUAAAGGGCGCGUAGGCGGCGAAGCAAGUCAGAUGUGAAAGCCCCGGGCUUAACUCGGGAAUUGCAUCUGAAACUGUUUUGCUUGAGUCCUGGAGGGGGUAGUGGAAUUCCCAGUGUAGCGGUGAAAUGCGUAGAUAUUGGGAGGAACACCUGCGGCGAAGGCGGCUACCUGGACAGUGACUGACGCUGAUGCGCGAAAGCUAGGGGAG